RNAcentral lists this RNase P RNA (355 nucleotides) under Neofusicoccum parvum UCRNP2. RNAcentral's name for it is "Nuclear RNase P". It matches the Rfam family "Nuclear RNase P". From Rfam's summary of the family: Ribonuclease P (RNase P) is a ubiquitous endoribonuclease, found in archaea, bacteria and eukarya as well as chloroplasts and mitochondria. Its best characterised activity is the generation of mature 5'-ends of tRNAs by cleaving the 5'-leader elements of precursor-tRNAs. Cellular RNase Ps are ribonucleoproteins. Lineage: Eukaryota; Fungi; Ascomycota; Dothideomycetes; Botryosphaeriales; Botryosphaeriaceae. The record is from Rfam by way of RNAcentral.
GCCCUCGCCAAAGCUGCGUUUCUUUGCUCACAAACAGACACCGGGCCCCGCUCGGAUGUCCUCGUAUGCAAAUGAGAAAUUCGGAGUAAUCUUCAACUUCACCCGCCAUCGCCUGGGCUCGCCCCGGGCGCGCUGGCAGCUGCCCGUGAGGGCCUGGCGUGAAUACGCUUGCACCCGGCAUCAGAAAACACAGGGCCAGCCGGCGGCGCUAUCUUCGGGUGGCGCUUGCGCAGGUCUGUACCCCUAUGGGAGUCGGUGCGAAGAUUGUGUGCAUGCGACAGCGUGCGACACUUUAGUGCAAUACGCAGCGUACCGUAUUCCGGUAUCAUUCGAUUCCGAUUACUCUGGCGAGGGC